Molecule: transfer RNA, 65 nt
Filed under: Dipodomys ordii (Ord's kangaroo rat)
Lineage: Eukaryota; Metazoa; Chordata; Mammalia; Rodentia; Heteromyidae
Rfam family: tRNA
About the family: Transfer RNA (tRNA) molecules are approximately 80 nucleotides in length.
Source: Rfam by way of RNAcentral
GGUGGCUUAGUGGUAGAGCGCUUGUCUUGCAUGCAUGAGGCCCUGGGUUUGAUUCCCCAGCACCA